This 480-nucleotide ribosomal RNA is filed under the name Halobacillus sp. RNAcentral describes it as "bacterial SSU rRNA". It matches the Rfam family "Bacterial small subunit ribosomal RNA", at positions 1 to 452 of the family's 1533-position model. The record is from RNAcentral. Lineage: Bacteria; Bacillati; Bacillota; Bacilli; Caryophanales; Bacillaceae.
AGAGGAUUCGAUGAGUUUGAUCGUGGCUCAGGACGAACGCUGGCGGCGUGCCUAAUACAUGCAAGUCGAGCGCGGGAAGCGAGCUGAUCCCUUCGGGGUGACGCUCGUGGAACGAGCGGCGGACGGGUGAGUAACACGUGGGCAACCUGCCUGUAAGAUCGGGAUAACUCCGGGAAACCGGGGCUAAUACCGGGUAAUACUUUCUUUCGCAUGAAGGAAAGUUGAAAGAUGGCUUCUCGCUAUCACUUACAGAUGGGCCCGCGGCGCAUUAGCUAGUUGGUGAGGUAACGGCUCACCAAGGCGACGAUGCGUAGCCGACCUGAGAGGGUGAUCGGCCACACUGGGACUGAGACACGGCCCAGACUCCUACGGGAGGCAGCAGUAGGGAAUCUUCCGCAAUGGACGAAAGUCUGACGGAGCAACGCCGCGUGAACGAUGAAGGUCUUCGGAUCGUAAAGUUCUGUUGUUAGGGAAGAACAA